GAGUUUGAUCAUGGCUCAGAAUCAACGCUGGCGGCGUGCCUAACACAUGCAAGUCGAACGCGAAAGGGGAGCAAUCCCUGAGUAGAGUGGCAAACGGGUGAGUAACACGUGGGUGACCUGCCUUCGAGCGGGGGAUAACAUCCCGAAAGGGAUGCUAAUACCGCAUAACAUCCUGCCUUUGGAAAGGUGGAGAUCAAAGCCGGGGAUCGCAAGACCUGGCGCUUGAAGAGGGGCCCGCGCCUGAUUAGCUAGUUGGUGGGGUAACGGCCUACCAAGGCAACGAUCAGUAUCCGGCCUGAGAGGGCGGACGGACACACUGGGACUGAGACACGGCCCAGACUCCUACGGGAGGCAGCAGUGGGGAAUUGUUCGCAAUGGGCGCAAGCCUGACGACGCAACGCCGCGUGGAGGACGAAGAUCUUCGGGUCGUAAACUCCUGUCGAGCGGGAAGAACAUCUGCCGGGCUAAUAUCCUGGCAGGCUGACGGUACCGCUAAAGGAAGCCCCGGCUAACUCCGUGCCAGCAGCCGCGGUAAUACGGGGGGGGCAAGCGUUGUUCGGAAUUACUGGGCGUAAAGGGCUCGUAGGCGGCCAACUAAGUCGGAUGUGAAAUCCCCAGGCUCAACCUGGGAACUGCAUCCGAUACUGGAUGGCUUGAAUUCGGGAGAGGGAUGCAGAAUUCCAGGUGUAGCGGUGAAAUGCGUAGAUAUCUGGAGGAAUACCGGUGGCGAAGGCGGCAUCCUGGACCGACAUUGACGCUGAGGAGCGAAAGCUAGGGGAGCAAACGGGAUUAGAUACCCCGGUAGUCCUAGCCCUAAACGAUGAAUGCUUGGUGUAGCGGGUAUCGA
Molecule: ribosomal RNA, 847 nt
Filed under: uncultured bacterium
Lineage: Bacteria
Description: bacterial SSU rRNA
Rfam family: Bacterial small subunit ribosomal RNA
Source: RNAcentral